This is a long non-coding RNA of Mus musculus (house mouse), 845 nucleotides long. RefSeq annotates it as predicted gene, 29935. Lineage: Eukaryota; Metazoa; Chordata; Mammalia; Rodentia; Muridae. The record is from RefSeq and is a predicted model, not a curated record. The transcript has 3 exons.
GUCACACCUGCUUCCAUCUCCACCCUCUCCAUGGCUGUUUGGGCACCGUCUGGCAUCCUGCAAGCAGCUGUGUCUCUCCUUCUGCCCACCUCAGAGCUCCUACCCAGGCAGCACCUCAGACCGCAGCUCUCAGACUUCCGGAACUUCUCAUUGUUUGUCUUCUCUUUUAACUCUGACCUCAGAUUCUGAGUUAUAUGUCCUGGCCCUCUCCCCUAGGGGUCUCUCUGUGUCUCACUGGCUGAGCUCUGUCCUUCUGUCUGUCUCUCCACUGGCCCUUGCUGCACUCACUGUGACCAUCUCACAGAAAGCUAUCAGGAUCCCACCCUUUCAGAGACACCAUCAAGACUACAGGGGUGAGGCUCUUGACUUCUCAUUCUUUGCUCUCGAUGAGGUAUCGGUGGGUGACCUGAUUUCUCUUGUCUUCUGUGGUGAUGGAGCUCUGCAGUGGCCAGAGCAGUACUCAGGAUCCUAUCUGCUCUAGGAGUCCUCUCAGCCAGGUGCUUUGCCACACUCCUGUAGAUGUGAUAAAGACCAUGUGCAUGUGGAGGACAGUGCCUUGCCAUCCCAACUCAGCCUGGGAAGAAGCCACAGUUCUACAGAGCCAAGCACCACAUGAACCAGCAUUCUGGAUCCUGUGGGGGCGCUGCUCAGGACUUCCAGGGAGUGAUGUGUGAACAGGAAGGUGACCCUUCCUGCUGGGGGUUGGAGGAGGGGAACAAGCUGGCUGGCUGGGUAUCCAGGUACAGUCCUUUCUGUGAGCGUGAGGCACUGAUGGGCUAAGGAGCAUUUGAGAAUGAUGCAGUUACGAACAAAACAAAACAAACAAAACAAAAAGAAAAAACAAA